This 73-nucleotide transfer RNA is filed under the name Cyphomyrmex costatus. It matches the Rfam family "tRNA". From Rfam's summary of the family: Transfer RNA (tRNA) molecules are approximately 80 nucleotides in length. Their secondary structure includes four short double-helical elements and three loops (D, anti-codon, and T loops). Further hydrogen bonds mediate the characteristic L-shaped molecular structure. tRNAs have two regions of fundamental functional importance: the anti-codon, which is responsible for specific mRNA codon recognition, and the 3' end, to which the tRNAs corresponding amino acid is attached (by aminoacyl-tRNA synthetases). tRNAs cope with the degeneracy of the genetic code in two manners: having more than one tRNA (with a specific anti-codon) for a particular amino acid; and 'wobble' base-pairing, i.e. permitting non-standard base-pairing at the 3rd anti-codon position. The record is from Rfam by way of RNAcentral. Lineage: Eukaryota; Metazoa; Arthropoda; Insecta; Hymenoptera; Formicidae.
GCUUCGGUAGUCUAAUUGGCUAGGACACUUGCGCGUAAAGCAAAGUAUCCGGGUUCGAUUCCCGAUCGAGAUA